Molecule: ribosomal RNA, 305 nt
Filed under: uncultured bacterium
Lineage: Bacteria
Description: bacterial SSU rRNA
Rfam family: Bacterial small subunit ribosomal RNA
Source: RNAcentral
CCUACGGGAGGCAGCAGUCGGGAAUAUUGCGCAAUGGAGGAAACUCUGACGCAGUGACGCCGCGUAUAGGAAGAAGGUUUUCGGAUUGUAAACUAUUGUCGUUAGGGAAGAUAAAAGACUGUACCUAAGGAGGAAGCCCCGGCUAACUAUGUGCCAGCAGCCGCGGUAAUACAUAGGGGGCAAGCGUUAUCCGGAAUUAUUGGGCGUAAAGAGUACGUAGGUGGCAACCUAAGCGCAGGGUUUAAGGCAAUGGCUCAACCAUUGUUCGCCCUGCGAACUGGGAUGCUUGAGUGCAGGAGAGGAAA